AACGCUAGCUACAGGCUUAACACAUGCAAGUCGAGGGGUAGCACGGAAGAAGCUUGCUUCUUUGGGUGACGACCGGCGCACGGGUGAGUAACGCGUAUCCGACCUACCCAUAACUCGGGCACAGCCGCUCGAAAGAGUGAUUGAUUCCCGAUAUGUCUUUAGAGUAGAUCUAAUGAUGAAAGAUUCAUCGGUUAUGGAUGGGGAUGCGUAAGAUUAGGUAGUAGGCGGGGUAACGGCCCACCUAGCCGACGAUCUUUAGGGGUUCUGAGAGGAAGGUCCCCCACACUGGUACUGAGACACGGACCAGACUCCUACGGGAGGCAGCAGUGAGGAAUAUUGGUCAAUGGGCGGAAGCCUGAACCAGCCAAGUAGCGUGAAGGAUUACAGCCCUACGGGUUUUAAACUUCUUUUAUAUGAGAGUAAUGUGCACUACGUGUAGUGUAUUGCAAGUAUCAUAUGAAUAAGCAUCGGCUAACUCCGUGCCAGCAGCCGCGGUAAUACGGAGGAUGCGAGCGUUAUCCGGAUUUAUUGGGUUUAAAGGGAGCGUAGGCGGGAUAUUAAGUCAGUCGUCAAAGCCUGUGGCUCAACCACAGCCCUCGAUUGAUACUGGUAACCUUGAGUGCGGAUGAGGUGGAUGGAAUUCGUGGUGUAGCGGUGAAAUGCUUAGAUAUCACGAAGAACUCCGAUUG
This 689-nucleotide ribosomal RNA is filed under the name uncultured bacterium. Its description in RNAcentral is "bacterial SSU rRNA". It matches the Rfam family "Bacterial small subunit ribosomal RNA", at positions 32 to 715 of the family's 1533-position model. The record is from RNAcentral.